This 303-nucleotide ribosomal RNA is filed under the name uncultured bacterium. RNAcentral's name for it is "partial 16S ribosomal RNA". It matches the Rfam family "Bacterial small subunit ribosomal RNA", at positions 507 to 809 of the family's 1533-position model. The record is from RNAcentral.
AGCAGUCGCCACGGUAAUACGAGGGGGGCAAGCGUUGUUCGGAAUUAUUGGGCGUAAAGCGCACGUAGGCGGCUUGGUAAGUUAGAGGUGAAAGCCCGGAGCUCAACUCCGGAAUUGCCUUUAAGACUGCCGAGCUAGCAGGUGAGAGAGGUAAGUGGAAUUCCGAGUGUAGAGGUGAAAUUCGUAGAUAUUCGGAAGAACACCAGUGGCGAAGGCGGCUUACUGGCUCAUACUGGACGCUGAGGUGCGAAAGCGUGGGGAGCAAACAGGAUUAGAUACCCCUGUAGUCCCUGUCUCUUAUAA